CUGCCAUAGACAAAGGAUGCACUCGGAGCCCCACCACACCUAAAGCCACGCUUUGAAGGAUCUGCCAAGCUCACUUUUAAUCAUGAGAAAGAAAUUACCCACAUGGAGUCAGCAGAAAAUGAGAAAGUAGAGCUCGUGCUGUGAAUAAUUCCAGCAAGUGCCAAGGGGCUAGUUGAGGAAUGGCUUCAUGAGG
Molecule: unclassified non-coding RNA, 193 nt
Organism: Microcebus murinus (gray mouse lemur)
Lineage: Eukaryota; Metazoa; Chordata; Mammalia; Primates; Cheirogaleidae
Source: Ensembl